UGAUCGUUGAACCGUAAGCUGUCUGGAUUAACUGAUGAGCCUGAAGCUGCCAGCGCCAUUUUUGACCCGAGUUCUUGUCAGCCCUGUGCGUCAAAGACAACGUCGCCGUGGUGCUAGCUGGACGCAGAUGAUCAAUCAGCGUCUGGUCUCGGUGGCGGACCCAGCGAUUCUACGGAGCCUGGAUGGAAUAAGCUACAACUAAGAAAUCACUGAUAUUGAAGACUGUCAAUGCACAAAGUCUCCAUGGGGCUCUCGCCGUCGAGCCCGGGCGGCCGCCCGGGGUCGCCGUGCCUUGGGACCGCCGUGAUGUUCUGUAGUUGCUAGCACUAGCCUCCUUCUGUUGAUACACUCUGGUCCCCAUGGGCUGUAAGAAUGACACAGCUUUUGCCGUGCUACCUUCUCUGUAAAUGCAGCGGUUGACGCCAUUGGAGUACAGAAGCAUCUUCACGAGCAUUUCUGACCGUCCAAGGCACCUGCUAUUUUUGAAACGCUCCGUGCCCAUAUGGACACGCCCCGCGCGCGCCGGCGCCAAACUCUUGCCGCGCGCCUCCGCAUCUUCCUCCCUCCGCCUCCCGCACGCCCGCGUCGGUUACCCCCUCCUCGCGUCCUCCGGGCCAAUCGCCACCCUUCCUCCGCUUCUCCCUCCCUCCCUUUCUCUUCCACGGACACACCGGAGGAGGAGAAGGGCCAUCGAUCCGAUCGGGGAGGAGGCGUGGCCAGCGAUGGGUCUCCUCAGGGGCGUCGCGCUGCGCGUGGCCGUGCUCGCCGCCGCCGUCGGCUUCGCCGCCGCCGGGUUCAUCUCAAAUGACGCGCUGCUGGAGCGCGGGCACGACACCACCGGCCGGAGCCUGCUGCAGGCCAAGAAAGAUUGCCCGGUGAGCUUCGAGGGCGCCAACUACACGAUCAUCACGAGCCGGUGCAAGGGCCCGCUGUACCAGCCGAGCCUGUGCUGCGGCGCGCUCAAGGACUUCGCGUGCCCCUACUCCACCUACAUCAACGACGUCACCACCAACUGCGCCGCCACCAUGUUCAGCUACAUCAACCUCUACGGCAAGUACCCGCCGGGCCUCUUCGCCAACACCUGCCACGAGGGCGACAAGGGCCUGUCGUGCCCGGAAGACACGCCGCAGGUGCAGCCGGGCCAGAAGGCCUCCGGAGCGGCCGCCGUCGCCGCGCCGGCUGCGGCCGUGGCGUUGGCGGCCGCACUGGCCGUGUCAUCGAUCAUGUCGUGCUGAGGCCAGGAAGGCUGUGGGGACGUGACUGUGUAACCAACCCUGUGCUUCUGUACCACUUGCCGCUGGAUGAACGGGUUUGCAGUUAUAUGCAUGUGUGUAUACCUGAAUUUCGAGAAGGGUGGUAGACAGGGGCUCUGAUUAGGCUCAAUUUGCGAGUGCCGUCCCUUCUGGAAAAAAAAUGGCUUAUAGACUGCCAAUUUUCACACACAGUUCAUUUGCUAACCAAGCAGCACGUUAGAUCAAGGACACCGCGCACCCGAGCC
RNA transcript from Panicum hallii, 1498 nucleotides. It is a transcript of the gene named GPI-anchored protein LLG1-like, with no coding region annotated. The record is from RefSeq and is a predicted model, not a curated record. The transcript has 4 exons. Lineage: Eukaryota; Viridiplantae; Streptophyta; Magnoliopsida; Poales; Poaceae.